GUGGCGGAAAGCAAAGUCCCUGCGAACCCCGUCACCCGCGUGCGGUGUGGAACCUGGCGCCACGUCCCUGCGUCCCUUGGGGGUCUGGGAACAUGGCCCGAAGGGCUCUCAAGCUUGCUUCGUGGACCAGCGCGGCUCUGGCUGCCUCGGGCUUCUGCCUCUACAGUAACAAGUACUUGGAUCCCAGUGACUUCGGCGCUGUCAGGGUGGGCAGGGCCGUUGCCACGACAGCUGUCAUCAGUUAUGACUAUCUCACCUCCCUGAGGAGUGUCCCCUAUGGUUCAGAGGAGUACUUGCGGCUUCGAUCCAAGGUGCACCUCCGUUCUGCCAGGCGUCUCUGUGAGCUGUGCUGUGCCAACCGGGGCACUUUCAUCAAGGUGGGCCAGCACCUGGGGGCCCUGGACUACCUGCUGCCGGAGGAGUACACCAGCACGCUGAAGGUGCUCCACAGCCAGGCCCCGCGGAGCAGCAUACAAGAGGUCCGCCAGGUCAUCCGCGAAGACCUGGGCCAGGAGAUUCAGGAUUUGUUUGUGAGCUUUGAUGACACCCCUCUGGGGGCCGCCUCCCUGGCCCAGGUCCACAAGGCGGUGCUGCGUGAUGGGCGGACAGUGGCCGUGAAGGUCCAGCAUCCAAAGGUUCAGGCUCAGAGCUCAAAGGACAUUCUCCUGAUGGAGGUGCUUGUCCUGGCUGUGAAGCAGCUGUUUCCAGAGUUUGAGUUCAUGUGGCUGGUGGACGAAGCCAAGAAGAACCUGCCUUUGGAGCUGGAUUUCCUCAAUGAAGGGAGGAAUGCUGAGAAAGUGGCCCAAAUGCUCAAACACUUUGACUUCUUAAAGGUCCCCCGCAUCUACUGGGAGCUGUCCACCAAGCGGGUCCUUCUGAUGGAGUUUGUGGACGGCGGCCAGGUCAAUGACAGAGACUACAUGGAGAGAAACAAGAUUGACGUCAACGAGAUCUCGCGCCACCUGGGCAAGAUGUACAGUGAGAUGAUUUUUGUCAAUGGCUUCGUGCACUGCGACCCGCACCCCGGCAACGUGCUGGUGCGGAAGCGCCCGGACACAGGGAAGGCGGAGAUCAUCCUGCUGGACCACGGGCUCUACCAGGUGCUCACAGACGACUUCCGCCUGGAUUACUGCCACCUCUGGCAGUCGCUGAUCUGGACUGACAUGGAGAAGGUGAAGAAGUACAGCCAGCGCCUGGGAGCCGGGGAGCUCUACCCCUUGUUUGCCUGCAUGCUGACUGCCCGGUCUUGGGACUCGGUCAACAGGGGCAUUGGCCAAGCUCCGGUCACCGCCACAGAGGACGCAGAGAUCCGCGACAAUGCAGCCAGCUACCUCCCCCAGAUCAGCCAGCUCCUCAACCAUGUGCCUCGCCAGAUGCUGCUCAUCUUCAAGACCAACGACCUGCUCCGUGGCAUUGAGGUCGCCCUGGGCACCCGUGCCAGGGCCAGCUCCUUCCUCAGCAUGUCACGUUGCUGCAUCAGAGCGCUGGCUGCGCACAAGAAGAAGAACGCCUGCUCGUUCUUCAGAAGGACCCAGAUCUCUUUCAGAGAGGCCUUCAACUUAUGGCAGAUCAACCUUCAUGAACUCAUUCUGCGUGUGAAGGAGUUGAGUCAAGAUCAGUCAGAACCGAAUCCCACCAACAACUUUAAUGAGGUUAGAAGAGGAGCCCGGACUCCAGAUGACAAUGUAGCCUGCCGAAACCUUGAUUUGAGCCUCGUAAUCCCCUGAGCAAAGAACCUGGCGAUGCCAUGCCCGACUUCCCACCUACAGAACUAUGAGCUAAUAGAAUGGAAAUUACAUUAAAACAAACAGCCGAUGAAAGCUGCUGCUGACCCAUACAGCGGCCCUCUACAGUCGGUAGACCCAAAGUGGAUGAUGGAUGGACUGCAGAAUAUGGAGCCUAAUAGCCAGUGCAAAAACUCAUAUGUAUUGACACUGGCACCUCAGCACCUGCCAUUGGCAAAGGAAGAAGGGCUUCUGCCUCCCCUCCGCCUUCCAGAUCACGGGUAUUUGUAAUUUUGUAUUCUUUUACCGAAAGAAGGCCUCCACAAUCAACAGAGGAUGGCAGAGCAGAAAGAUAGAAUCCUGGCCACUCUUGACCCUUGGAAGUCCAUGGCAGCUCUGGAUGGCCCACCACCAGACUCCUUUUAUUUGUGGGAGAAAUAAAUCUCUAUCUUGUUUAAAUGACCAAUGUUUUGGCUUUUCUGUUAUGAGCCACCAAACAGAAUCUAACCUGAUAAGCCCUUUGACUCAGCAGUUCUACUUCCAGGAAUUUAUUCUACAGAUGGACUGGCCCAUAUACAAGAUGAUACAUGGUCAAGGUCAUUCAUUGCAGCAGAAGAUUGGAAACAAUCUGUAUGUCCAUCAAUGGAGACUGGUUAAAUAAAUUAUUUGCAUCCAUACAGUGAAAUAGUAAAGCAUCCUAUAUUAGCAGGAAGCUUGUCAUAUCGAUAUGAAAUGAUCUCUAAGGUGUACUGUUAAGAGAAAAAAGUAAGGGCAGAACAGUGUGAAUA
Molecule: non-coding RNA, 2512 nt
Organism: Callorhinus ursinus (northern fur seal)
Lineage: Eukaryota; Metazoa; Chordata; Mammalia; Carnivora; Otariidae
Source: RefSeq, a predicted model, not a curated record